CGAAACAGCAGAAAUAUUAUAAUGAGAAAGAGGUGAGGCAGAGGAUUGAAUUGAAUGAAGAUUUGGAUUGAAUGAAGAUUUGGAAGAAGAAGUGGCUUGAUGAUCGAAGGAUCUAUGAAUCUAGUGUUAGUAUAAAAAUGAAGCAUAGAAGUUUUGAUUAUGUCUCAAAGUCAAGUCUCAAGUGCUUUUGUUGCAAGAAGACCUUCAUGAAAACUUGU
Molecule: long non-coding RNA, 218 nt
Filed under: Vigna radiata
Lineage: Eukaryota; Viridiplantae; Streptophyta; Magnoliopsida; Fabales; Fabaceae
Description: long non-coding RNA (VRAD_LNC005918)
Source: RNAcentral